GAUGAACGCUGGCGGCGUGCCUAAUACAUGCAAGUCGAGCGAACAGACGAUGAGCUUGCUCCUUUCACGUUAGCGGCGGACGGGUGUGUAACACGUGGAUCACCUACCUAUAUGACUGGUAUCACUUCGGGAAACCGGCGCUAAUACCAGAUGAUCUCUUGAACCGCAGGGUUCAAUAGUGAAAGACGGUUUUGCUGUAUCUUAUAGCGGCUUCCGCGCCGCAUUAGCUAGUUGGUAAGGUAAAGGCCUACCAAGGCUACGAGGCGUAGCCGACCUAAGAGGGUGAUAGGCCACACGGGAAGUGAGCCAGCGUCCUGAGUCCUACGGGAGGCCGCAGUAGGGAAUCUGCCGCAAUGGGCGAAAGCCUGACAGAGCAACGCCGCGUGAGUGAUGAAGGUCUUCGGAUCGUAAAACCCUGUUAUUGGGGAAGAACAAAUGUGUAAGGAGCUAUACCCUUAUUGACGGUACCGAAUCAGAAAGCCACGGCUAACUACGUG
RNAcentral lists this ribosomal RNA (497 nucleotides) under uncultured bacterium. RNAcentral describes it as "partial 16S ribosomal RNA". It matches the Rfam family "Bacterial small subunit ribosomal RNA", at positions 28 to 507 of the family's 1533-position model. The record is from RNAcentral.